RNAcentral lists this ribosomal RNA (251 nucleotides) under uncultured bacterium. Its description in RNAcentral is "partial 16S ribosomal RNA". It matches the Rfam family "Bacterial small subunit ribosomal RNA", at positions 524 to 776 of the family's 1533-position model. The record is from RNAcentral.
GACGGGGGGGGCAAGUGUUCUUCGGAAUGACUGGGCGUAAAGGGCACGUAGGCGGUGAAUCGGGUUGAAAGUGAAAGUCGCCAAAAAGUGGCGGAAUGCUCUCGAAACCAAUUCACUUGAGUGAGACAGAGGAGAGUGGAAUUUCGUGUGUAGGGGUGAAAUCCGUAAAUAUCAGGAGGAACACCGAUGGCGAAGGCGGCUCUCUAGUACGGUACUGACGCUGAGACGCGAAAGCGUGGGGAGCGAACAGG